UCUAGAGAACAUCACAGGGUGCAUGGUGAGGAGCCAGAGUGUCAGGGUAUAGCCAGUCCUUGUGGGUUCAAGUCAGCCAUAUCUGGAAAGUUCACGCACUAAACUGUCAUUGCUAUGGAGGCUCAGUGUGACUGGGGUCUAAAUCGCAGGAAUAAAUACCUUCACGUUGACACUGGAUGUCAAGUGUAUACUGUUUCACCAGACUUCAGAUACAGCUAAUUAGGAUCAAAAUCAGCCUCCUGAUGCUUCAGACAAAGAUGUGCCUCCAUCCAAACUGUGAGCAAGAUGGAAGAUUUUUAGCAACUAUCUUUUCUAUCAAGUAUUCAGUGCCACGGCUACCCAGUUUCCAUGAUGCAAGAAUAAGAUCCAAUAGCUGUCAUAUUCUGGGAGUUCAGGAAUGGCCAUCAGGGGAAAGCAAAAACUAAGGCCAAAGAUAAAAAGAAAUUUAAGGUAUUUGCCAUCAAGGUCAUCUUGAACAAGCUCACAGUGAGGUCUCUCCUCAGGCCUCUCUGAACUUCUGGAGGCAGGAAGGAUCCCCGCUCCGGCCUUGGCAGUGGACACAGUCUAUUUUAUUAUCCAUAAUUAACAUGGACUAUAAGAACCCAUCAUUCGUUAAGUCUUCUGAAAGAUGACUCCUUCAGAAAAGGAGUGAGGCUUCAGGAUGAAGACAGGAACCCUCACAUCAGUGAUGUCUGGUCCGUAGCCGGCACUUGAUUGAAAUGGUCCCUACAACUUCCUGCCAGGAAAGCCCCAUUAUGCACAGGUCACAUUUGAGGAAACUGAGGCUCAGGGACACCCAGGGGCUUGGCUUGAAUAGCAGAACAGGAAUCAAAUUCAAAAGCCCAAGUUUGGGGAAAUACAGAAUCAGGUACCGGCUCAAGCAGCUCGCCAUCCUCCAAGAGCAGAGCUGGGGACCCCCUCAGACCAGCCCUGCACCUUCAGCUGGCUCCUUUUGUCCCCCACCCUCUGCCAGCUUCCCAAGAACCCUCCUACACUACCCCUCCUCCAGCGGCUGCCUCAGCAAGCAGCCCAAGGUCUUUGUAGCAUCUGACACAAUUCGAUAGUUCCCUAUUCCCCUCUCCCAGAAGGGGGUGAGGGGGGUGAGAGAGAGAGAGAGAGAGAGAGAGAGAGAGAGAGAGAGAACCACUACAUGCCUUGGGCCUAGAAAAGUGCCUGGCACACGUAGAAGCUAAGUAUCCUUAGUAAGUAAUAACUGUCCCUCUGCAUCCCCAGGGAUGGGCACAGUGCCCACCGGGAAGAGCAGCUGCACACAGCAGCGGUGGCGUGCUGGGCAGGGACUUCUAUUUCCAAGCUGGCUAGUAAGUGAACUAAAGAGGGAGCGUUUCUAAGGCCAUGCAGGCUCUUUAGAACCUGCUAGUAUCUUGCCUCCAAUAUUAAAA
Molecule: long non-coding RNA, 1400 nt
Organism: Talpa occidentalis (Iberian mole)
Lineage: Eukaryota; Metazoa; Chordata; Mammalia; Eulipotyphla; Talpidae
Exons: 7
Source: RefSeq, a predicted model, not a curated record